Molecule: long non-coding RNA, 761 nt
Organism: Labrus mixtus (cuckoo wrasse)
Lineage: Eukaryota; Metazoa; Chordata; Actinopteri; Labriformes; Labridae
Exons: 2
Source: RefSeq, a predicted model, not a curated record
GUUUACAGACCGAUGCAGAGCUGGAUAAACACUGAAGCUUCAGUGUCCACCACAUGGUGACCUGUGGGGGAGACAGCUCUCUACAAUGUUUAGAAUUUAGACUGCAGUACCCAUUUUAACCACUAGGGGUCAGAGUUACAUACUGCUCCUUUAAACGUUUGAUGAAUUUGUAAACUAAAUUAUUUUAGGCAGGUUGUUCCAGAGUAGAGCAAUUUAACACUAACUCAAAAAAAAUGUUUCAGAUGUGUUUGAUAAGAGGUCGGCCAAAGAGCUGAAGAAGAACUCGUAUUUUAAAAAGAUUGACAACAUUAAAAAGUUGCUCAUGAGAGUAAGACGGCGAGCAGGCGUUCGCUUGUGACUCAAAGUCGGUUUCUGUUUCGUAAAUCUCCCUUCAGCUGUAGAGUGAUGAGUGUAAGGGAAUCAAAACAGGAAACAGGAAGUAGUUUUCUCAGAUUUAUUUGAUCCUUUACGUCGUACAGAAACAAUGAGGACUGAUGGUGUGAAGGUGUCGGCAGAAUAAAAGCAUGAGGAAGAAGCCGGCGGCAGAGAGACGUUUUUUUCUACCUCCGGACACGAUCCGAUACAAAGACGAUAACGUGGAUUAGUGCGACCUGCUCCUUUAAGAGGUCAGAACUGUUGUUAAACUGUGAGAGGAAACGUUAAAGCAAGAAAAACAACUGUACAUCAAUAAGAAUAUUUUCAAAAUAAGAGCGUCGUAAAAAUUACAAUCCUCCAAUAAAUACAAAGCUCCACUUAAUAAA